RNAcentral lists this long non-coding RNA (650 nucleotides) under Homo sapiens (human). RNAcentral describes it as "HSALNT0106137". The record is from RNAcentral. Lineage: Eukaryota; Metazoa; Chordata; Mammalia; Primates; Hominidae.
AGGAGGGAGCGCGCGGAGAGCGAGGGAGGAGGGAGCGAGAGAGCAAGCGGCGGAGGGAGGGGAGACCAACUUCUAGUGCUACCAUAAUUCGCCUAAAGCAGGUGCAGCAACUUUCACCCCGCCUGGCAGCCCGCUGAGAGCGAGAGAAAACCACGUGCACCAAACUUUAGGGGAGGAAAAAUGGGAACGUGGGGAGAAGACGUGAGGCGGCAGAUCUGAAAAAGAUGGUAGGUGGAGGGACCCCAGGGAUUCACCCUGGCCUCGGACUAAUCCUAUGGGGCGCUUGCAAACCCCGGCCAUCCCCUGGAGUCUGAAGGUCAUUCCGGACUCCUGACGCCGCCAGUCCCGCGGUGAGACGUGAGCGCCAUUGGCGUCCGUGGCCUCUGUUUCCGUGGCAACCUAGUAACCAUUAAUUUUCAAUUAAAGGAGACAAAAAGCUCGAUGACAGCUCCAGGUCUGCUGAAGAUGUCAAGAAUCUGUAUUAAUAUACAGCAAGAGAGCAUAAUUGUGUGUCCAUCUUCCAGAGCAGCGAAAAAUGGAGGGAUAAUUACCAGCUCGAAAGCCACUCUGUAAUUUAGUUCUUACUGUCACCACAGCCCUACACAUUAGCAUAAAUUAAAAGCAGAGUUUAUUGUUAUCAAAGUGCAUUG